CUCGGCGGCUUGGUUGGUUUGUUGGGAGCGGGGGAGAGGCUUGCGGCGAGUGCCUGGAUGGCGAGCUGCAAUGCCAUGGCGGAUCUCAAUGGGUCCAGGUGUGCACAGCCAUCUAUUUCGGAUAAGAGUUUUCAGAGUAGUAAGAGGAUGGGGACAGACAAAGAUAGCUGCUGAUUGCAUCAACUUCCGAAAACGAAAGCUGAGGGGCCAAUAUAUGGUUUUCUUCUCUCUUUUCCCCUUUAUCUCCAUGCAUGUGCUAACUCCUAAAAUUUCACUGCGCAAUACCAAUAAAGAAAGGGAUAAUGCUUUUCGA
Molecule: long non-coding RNA, 313 nt
Organism: Brachypodium distachyon (stiff brome)
Lineage: Eukaryota; Viridiplantae; Streptophyta; Magnoliopsida; Poales; Poaceae
Exons: 2
Source: RefSeq, a predicted model, not a curated record